Small nucleolar RNA from Gossypium arboreum, 107 nucleotides. It matches the Rfam family "Plant small nucleolar RNA R71". From Rfam's summary of the family: R71 is a member of the C/D box family of snoRNAs containing the C (UGAUGA) and D (CUGA) box motifs. NCBI's taxonomy places the organism in Eukaryota, Viridiplantae, Streptophyta, Magnoliopsida, Malvales, Malvaceae. The record is from Rfam.
AACCCAUGGUGAGGGAACCUUCUUAGUAAGUUCUUGUAUCUCUCCCAUGCAUCGUAAGGUGUUUCUAAAUCCAUCUGCACAAAAGAAGAGAUAUCAUUACGCAAUUU